Molecule: small nuclear RNA, 99 nt
Filed under: Suricata suricatta (meerkat)
Lineage: Eukaryota; Metazoa; Chordata; Mammalia; Carnivora; Herpestidae
Source: RNAcentral
UCGCUUCAGCAGCAGCCAUAAAAAGUUGGUACAACACAGAGAUUAGCAAGGCCCCUGUGCAAGGAUGACAUAUAGAUUCAUAAAGUGAUCCACACUUUU